GGGUAGUUUGACUGGGGCGGUCUCCUCCUAAAGAGUAACGGAGGAGCACGAAGGUUGGCUAAUCCUGGUCGGACAUCAGGAGGUUAGUGCAAUGGCAUAAGCCAGCUUGACUGCGAGCGUGACGGCGCGAGCAGGUGCGAAAGCAGGUCAUAGUGAUCCGGUGGUUCUGAAUGGAAGGGCCAUCGCUCAACGGAUAAAAGGUACUCCGGGGAUAACAGGCUGAUACCGCCCAAGAGUUCAUAUCGACGGCGGUGUUUGGCACCUCGAUGUCGGCUCAUCACAUCCUGGGGCUGAAGUAGGUCCCAAGGGUAUGGCUGUUCGCCAUUUAAAGUGGUACGCGAGCUGGGUUUAGAACGUCGUGAGACAGUUCGGUCCCUAUCUGCCGUGGGCGCUGGAGAACUGAGGGGGGCUGCUCCUAGUACGAGAGGACCGGAGUGGACGCAUCACUGGUGUUCGGGUUGUCAUGCCAAUGGCACUGCCCGGUAGCUAAAUGCGGAAGAGAUAAGUGCUGAAAGCAUCUAAGCACGAAACUUGCCCCGAGAUGAGUUCUCCCUGACUCCUUGAGAGUCCUGAAGGAACGUUGAAGACGACGACGUUGAUAGGCCGGGUGUGUAAGCGCAGCGAUGCGUUGAGCUAACCGGUACUAAUGAACCGUGAGGCU
Molecule: ribosomal RNA, 661 nt
Filed under: Escherichia coli
Lineage: Bacteria; Pseudomonadati; Pseudomonadota; Gammaproteobacteria; Enterobacterales; Enterobacteriaceae
Description: partial 23S ribosomal RNA
Rfam family: Bacterial large subunit ribosomal RNA
Source: RNAcentral